AUUGAACGCUGGCGGCAGGCCUAACACAUGCAAGUCGAACGGUAACAGAAAGCAGCUUGCUGCUUUGCUGACGAGUGGCGGACGGGUGAGUAAUGUCUGGGAAACUGCCUGAUGGAGGGGGAUAACUACUGGAAACGGUAGCUAAUACCGCAUAACGUCGCAAGACCAAAGAGGGGGACCUUCGGGCCUCUUGCCAUCGGAUGUGCCCAGAUGGGAUUAGCUAGUAGGUGGGGUAACGGCUCACCUAGGCGACGAUCCCUAGCUGGUCUGAGAGGAUGACCAGCCACACUGGAACUGAGACACGGUCCAGACUCCUACGGGAGGCAGCAGUGGGGAAUAUUGCACAAUGGGCGCAAGCCUGAUGCAGUCAUGCCGCGUGUAUGAAGAAGGCCUUCGGGUUGUAAAGUACUUUCAGCGGGGAGGAAGGGAGUAAAGUUAAUACCUUUGCUCAUUGACGUUACCCGCAGAAGAAGCACCGGCUAACUCCGUG
RNAcentral lists this ribosomal RNA (490 nucleotides) under uncultured bacterium. RNAcentral describes it as "partial 16S ribosomal RNA". It matches the Rfam family "Bacterial small subunit ribosomal RNA", at positions 30 to 507 of the family's 1533-position model. The record is from RNAcentral.